This 675-nucleotide ribosomal RNA is filed under the name Nocardia elegans. RNAcentral describes it as "bacterial SSU rRNA". It matches the Rfam family "Bacterial small subunit ribosomal RNA", at positions 61 to 753 of the family's 1533-position model. The record is from RNAcentral. Lineage: Bacteria; Bacillati; Actinomycetota; Actinomycetes; Mycobacteriales; Nocardiaceae.
GUCGAGCGGUAAGGCCCUUCGGGGUACACGAGCGGCGAACGGGUGAGUAACACGUGGGUGAUCUGCCUCGUACUCUGGGAUAAGCCUGGGAAACUGGGUCUAAUACCGGAUAUGACCACGAAUCGCAUGGUUUGUGGUGGAAAGAUUUAUCGGUGCGAGAUGGGCCCGCGGCCUAUCAGCUUGUUGGUGGGGUAAUGGCCUACCAAGGCGACGACGGGUAGCCGGCCUGAGAGGGCGACCGGCCACACUGGGACUGAGACACGGCCCAGACUCCUACGGGAGGCAGCAGUGGGGAAUAUUGCACAAUGGGCGGAAGCCUGAUGCAGCGACGCCGCGUGAGGGAUGACGGCCUUCGGGUUGUAAACCUCUUUCGACAGGGACGAAGCGCAAGUGACGGUACCUGUAGAAGAAGCACCGGCCAACUACGUGCCAGCAGCCGCGGUAAUACGUAGGGUGCGAGCGUUGUCCGGAAUUACUGGGCGUAAAGAGCUUGUAGGCGGUUCGUCGCGUCGAUCGUGAAAACUUGCAGCUCAACUGCGAGCUUGCGGUCGAUACGGGCGGACUAGAGUACUGCAGGGGAGACUGGAAUUCCUGGUGUAGCGGUGAAAUGCGCAGAUAUCAGGAGGAACACCGGUGGCGAAGGCGGGUCUCUGGGCAGUAACUGACGCUGAGAAG